Molecule: ribosomal RNA, 420 nt
Filed under: uncultured bacterium
Lineage: Bacteria
Description: bacterial SSU rRNA
Rfam family: Bacterial small subunit ribosomal RNA
Source: RNAcentral
UAAGGAAUAUUGCUCAAUGGGGGAAAUCCUGAAGCAGCAACGCCGCGUGGAGGAUGAAGGGUCUAUGACUUGUAAACUCCUGUAAAGAAGGAAAAAAUCCCCAUUUGAUGGGAGAUGAUGGUACUUCUGGAGUAAGCCCCGGCUAACUACGUGCCAGCAGCCGCGGUAAUACGUAGGGGGCAAGCGUUGUCCGGAUUUACUGGGUGUAAAGGGUGCUCAGGCGGAUUUGUAAGUCAGAGGUGAAAUCUUACAGCUUAACUGUGAAACUGCCUUUGAUACUGCAAGCCUAGAGUAUGGAAGAGAGUGAUGGAAUAUCUGGUGUAGCAGUGAAAUGCGUAGGUAUCAGAUAGAACACCAAUGGCGAAGGCAGUCACUUGGUCCAUUACUGACGCUAAAGCACGAAAGCGUGGGUAGCAAACA